RNAcentral lists this non-coding RNA (23 nucleotides) under Arabidopsis thaliana (thale cress). Lineage: Eukaryota; Viridiplantae; Streptophyta; Magnoliopsida; Brassicales; Brassicaceae. The record is from RNAcentral.
ACAAAAUAAAUCGUUCCGCGGUA